RNAcentral lists this unclassified non-coding RNA (385 nucleotides) under uncultured fungus. Its description in RNAcentral is "partial contains small subunit ribosomal RNA, internal transcribed spacer 1, and 5.8S ribosomal RNA". The stretch from base 1 to 73 matches the Rfam family "Eukaryotic small subunit ribosomal RNA", at positions 1759 to 1831 of the family's 1831-position model. The record is from RNAcentral. Lineage: Eukaryota; Fungi.
CCAAACUUGGUCAUUUAGAGGAAGUAAAAGUCGUAACAAGGUUUCCGUAGGUGAACCUGCGGAAGGAUCAUUAACGAAUUGUAUGGACUUGGCUGUAGCUGGCUCUCUCUGGGAGCAUGUGCACGCCUUGUUCAAACCUUUCAUUCUUUAACCCCCUGUGCACUUUUGUGAAUUGCGGAUUGGAAAACAUAUUCAAAGUAACAUUUGGUCUUGGGGAUUGCCUAUGCUGACCCCUACUUCUGUUCGCAGUUCAUGUCUUUUUUUAUAAACCAUGUAAUAACAUCUAGAAUGUAUUGACGAGUUGGCACUUUAUUGUACCGCUCUUAAAUCUUAUACAACUUUCAACAACGGAUCUCUUGGCUCUCGCAUCGAUGAAGAACGCAGC